GACGAACCGUGCGAACGUUAUUCGGAAUCACUGGGCUUAAAGCGCGUGUAGGCGGGACGGCACGUCGGCCGCUAAAAUCCCCCGGCUUAACCGGGGAAGGGGCGCCGAUACGACCGCCCUGGAGGAACGUAGGGGGAGCUGGAACUUCCGGUGGAGCGGUGAAAUGCGUUGAGAUCGGAAGGAACGUCCGUGGCGAAAGCGAGCUCCUGGACGUUUUCUGACGCUGAGACGCGAAAGCCAGGGGAGCGAACGGG
RNAcentral lists this ribosomal RNA (254 nucleotides) under uncultured bacterium. RNAcentral's name for it is "partial 16S ribosomal RNA". It matches the Rfam family "Bacterial small subunit ribosomal RNA", at positions 524 to 776 of the family's 1533-position model. The record is from RNAcentral.